GACGAACGCUGGCGGCGUGCUUAACACAUGCAAGUCGAACGGAAAGGCCCUGCUUGCCGGGUACUCGAGUGGCGAACGGGUGAGUAACACGUGGGUGAUCUGCCCUGCACUUCGGGAUAAGCCUGGGAAACUGGGUCUAAUACCGGGUAGGAGCCAUUUUUAGUGUGAUGGUUGGAAAGUUUUUUCGGUGUAGGAUGAGCUCGCGGCCUAUCAGCUUGUUGGUGGGGUAAUGGCCUACCAAGGCGGCGACGGGUAGCCGGCCUGAGAGGGUGGACGGCCACAUUGGGACUGAGAUACGGCCCAGACUCCUACGGGAGGCAGCAGUGGGGAAUAUUGCACAAUGGGCGCAAGCCUGAUGCAGCGACGCCGCGUGGGGGAUGACGGCCUUCGGGUUGGAAACUCCUUUCGCUAGGGACGAAGCUUUUUGUGACGGUACCUAGAUAAGAAGCACCGGCUAACUACGUG
RNAcentral lists this ribosomal RNA (465 nucleotides) under uncultured bacterium. RNAcentral describes it as "partial 16S ribosomal RNA". It matches the Rfam family "Bacterial small subunit ribosomal RNA", at positions 28 to 507 of the family's 1533-position model. The record is from RNAcentral.